This is a microRNA precursor of Oryza rufipogon (brownbeard rice), 207 nucleotides long. It matches the Rfam family "MIR812 microRNA precursor family". NCBI's taxonomy places the organism in Eukaryota, Viridiplantae, Streptophyta, Magnoliopsida, Poales, Poaceae. The record is from Rfam.
AAAAAAACAAACCCUGAGUUUUCUUGUCCAACGUUUGACCGUCCGUCUUAUUUGAAAAAUUUAUGAAAAAAAUUAAAAAGACAAGUCACGUAUAAAGUAUUAAUCAUGUUUUAUCAUCUAACAACAAUGAAAAUACUAAUUAUAAAAAAAAUUUAUAUAAGACGGAUAGUCAAACGUUGGACACGGAAACCCAGGGUUUGUCUUUUU